This 1386-nucleotide long non-coding RNA is filed under the name Marmota monax (woodchuck). The record is from RNAcentral. Lineage: Eukaryota; Metazoa; Chordata; Mammalia; Rodentia; Sciuridae.
UCAUAACUGGCCUUUGAAAGUGUUUCAGUCAGCCUCUUGGUUUGUUUUCUCAUGUUUGAAAUGACAGUGAGUUCAGGCUCGCAGGGUUAAUGUUAGGGUUCUGUCAAGCACUUCGCACAAAUGGUAGCUAUGGUUAUUGUAGUUGCUUGGUGCUGAGAAUGCCCAAGACAUGAUAGCCCAGAGGUUGGAUCAGAAAGGGCUUCUCAGAGCCUAAUUUUCACAGUUGAGAAGAAGUUCUCCAGAAAGCAGAGUGGGAGAAGGAGGUCUAAAGAAGGAAAGGAGCACAUACAAAGAGCCACAAACGAGCACUGACCGACUCAUGGGUGAGCCUGGAGAGAUCAGGCUGCAGAAGUUAGCAGGGCUCUUGUUUCACCACACCAAGUAGUUUGGUCAGUGAGGAAUCAAUGAAAGGUUUUAAGUAGGAAGUUGAUCAGCAUGUGCCUCAGUAAAUCCUCUCUGAUAACAUGUGAAGAAGUAAUUCUCAGUGGGAGAGGUACUGUGAUUGCUUGAUUCCACAGCUUCCUCACCCCUGCCUAACUAAUCAUUGGAUCCCCUGUACUUUUUUGGACCCUAUCCCAGACCUACAAAACCAGAGUCUCCAGGUCUAGAACCCAGGAAUCUAUUGUUGUUAGAGUGCCCUAGGUAUUCUGAAUGUGGCUGGGUCUAGGAACUGCUGAAUUGAGGAGGCCUAGGGUUUUGUUUAAAGAAUGAGGCCACCCAGGGAGGAACUUUUUCAUAAGCAGGAAUAGAAACAGUUUUAGUUUUUUUUAAAAAAAGAGAAGCCUUCCCCCACUUCUCCAGUUGUUGCCCUAUUAAUGAUAUUCAACUGCUAAUUUCCCAUAGCAUAUCAAAAUGCUUACCUAUGUUUGUGAUGUUCUAUAGCCUCUGCUAAAUGACUGGAAUAUAGUGUCUCUUGGGACAAGGCUCUGCCCUUGGAAAUCACACAGUAUUGUGGAGAAGAUAAAUUUCAACUACUAGGUUAUUGUGAUCAGCUUUUUUCUAGAAAGAUACAAAAAAGCAUUAGCUCAUCCCAGGGUGAAUCCCAAUUCAUUCUUCCUGUGGACUUAGGAUGUGACACCUAAACUGAGGCAGGGGGUACAGCAGGUGUGACUGCAUUACAUAUUUGGAAAAAAGGAAUGUUUAAUGGUCCUUCUUGGCAGGAUGUGUAGAAGCAGAAAAUUCUGAGCAGAGGCAUACUUGUGUCCCAGGAAGGUCCUGCAUUUGUGUCCUUUGGUUCUGUGCCCAUGCUACCACCCUCAUUCUUCAAACUCUAGGCAGCAACCAGCUGAGUAGCUGCAUGCAGCAUGGAGAAGAACAUGUGCCGUCCUAAUGGCCAUCUCCCCUUUAUACUCUACCCAAUACUCUUGGCGCCCUUUGUGAUUUUCC